This 446-nucleotide long non-coding RNA is filed under the name Brassica napus (rape). Its description in RNAcentral is "long non-coding RNA (BNAP_LNC016036)". Lineage: Eukaryota; Viridiplantae; Streptophyta; Magnoliopsida; Brassicales; Brassicaceae. The record is from RNAcentral.
AUUUGUAAAUACUCAUUUUGUCGACAAUAGAGUUGAGAUGCAUGUAGUUUUUUUUUUUAACGCUGAUAUAUUAUGAUAUUACAAUUAUGAGAAUGAUUACAUAGACGAUCCGAUAACCGACAAUACUACAUGCCUUAUAAGGAUCUACGCCUAACUGCAUCACCUGAGCCGUCCUACGAAGAUCGCACCUGACCGAGUUUACUUGCACCAUGUUGGAGAUCCUUUGUAAGCAUUUCUUCCGUAGCCUGCAUAAUUGUUUAAUAAAUCGCUUUCUCCGGGAAUUGAAACCUGAACCUGCCGGUGUAGAAGCAUUAAUGAACCCUUAGUCAAACCAUUGGACUAAGGGGGCUUCCACAAGAUGCUUGUCGUUUCUUUUGCAAAAAAUUGUCGUUACCUUAGCUGCUGCAAACCUUUUAUCUUUAUUGAAAAUUUAAGCUUUGUAACAG